GGACCUGUGCCUGAAUACUAGGACCACUUUGAUAGAGUGUAUUAUGGAGGUUAAAGUCCUCCCAGCUCCU
Molecule: transfer RNA, 70 nt
Filed under: Solegnathus hardwickii (Hardwicke's pipefish)
Lineage: Eukaryota; Metazoa; Chordata; Actinopteri; Syngnathiformes; Syngnathidae
Description: tRNA-Ile
Rfam family: tRNA
About the family: Transfer RNA (tRNA) molecules are approximately 80 nucleotides in length. Their secondary structure includes four short double-helical elements and three loops (D, anti-codon, and T loops).
Source: RNAcentral